This 524-nucleotide ribosomal RNA is filed under the name uncultured bacterium. Its description in RNAcentral is "partial 16S ribosomal RNA". It matches the Rfam family "Bacterial small subunit ribosomal RNA", at positions 28 to 523 of the family's 1533-position model. The record is from RNAcentral.
GACGAACGCCGGCGGCGUGCCUAAUACAUGCAAGUCGAACGAAGCUGUUUUAACUGGUGCUUGCACCGACUUAAACAACUGAGUGGCGAACGGGUGAGUAACACGUGGGUAACCUGCCCCAAAGCGGGGGAUAACAUUUGGAAACAGAUGCUAAUACCGCAUAACCACAGAAACCACAUGGUUUCUGUGUCAAAGAUGGUUUCGGCUAUCACUUUGGGAUGGACCCGCGGCGUAUUAGCUAGUUGGUAAGGUAAUGGCUUACCAAGGCAAUGAUACGUAGCCGAACUGAUAGGGUGAUCGGCCACAUUGGGACUGAGACACGGCCCAAACUCCUACGGGAGGCAGCAGUAGGGAAUCUUCCACAAUGGACGAAAGUCUGAUGGAGCAACGCCGCGUGAGUGAAGAAGGUUUUCGGAUCGUAAAACUCUGUUGUCAGAGAAGAACGUGUGCGAGAGUAACUGCUCGUGCAGUGACGGUAUCUGGCCAGAGAGCCACGGCUAACUACGUGCCAGCCGCCGCGGUAA